UUGGGAGUAUAGCUCAGUGGUAAAGCUCAUGCUUAACAUGUGCUAGGUGCUAGGUUCAGUUCCUGGCUCCAAAU
Molecule: transfer RNA, 74 nt
Filed under: Marmota monax (woodchuck)
Lineage: Eukaryota; Metazoa; Chordata; Mammalia; Rodentia; Sciuridae
Description: tRNA.Sup
Source: RNAcentral